Molecule: ribosomal RNA, 253 nt
Filed under: uncultured bacterium
Lineage: Bacteria
Description: partial 16S ribosomal RNA
Rfam family: Bacterial small subunit ribosomal RNA
Source: RNAcentral
UACGUAGGGAGCAAGCGUUGUCCGGAAUCAUUGGGCGUAAAGCGCGCGCAGGCGGUUGGCAAAGUCAGCUGUGAAAGCCCCGGGCUCAACCUGGGAAUGGCGGUUGAAACUAGUCGACUAGAAUCUGGCAGAGGGGGGUGGAAUUCCACGUGUAGCAGUGAAAUGCGUAGAGAUGUGGAGGAACACCGAUGGCGAAGGCAGCCCCCUGGGCUGAGAUUGACGCUCAGGCACGAAAGCGUGGGGAGCAAACAGG